AUACGGAGGAUCCGAGCGUUAUCCGGAUUUAUUGGGUUUAAAGGGCGCGUAGGUGGAUUGUUAAGUCAGUUGUGAAAGUUUGCGGCUCAACCGUAAAAUUGCAGUUGAAACUGGCAGGCUUGAGUGCAGUAGAGGUGGGCGGAAUUCGGGGUGUAGCGGUGCAAUGGUUAGAUAUCACGAAGAACUCCGAUUGCGAAGGCAGCUCACUAGACUGUUACUGACACUGAUGCUCGAAAGUGCGGGUAUCAAACAGGAUUAGAUACCCUGGUAGUCCACACAGUAAACGAUGAAUACUCGCUGUUUGCGAUAUACAGUAAGCGGCCAAGCGAAAGCAUUAAGUAUUCCACCUGGGGAGUACGCCGGCAACGGUGAAACUUAAAGGAAUUGACGGGG
RNAcentral lists this ribosomal RNA (393 nucleotides) under uncultured bacterium. RNAcentral's name for it is "partial 16S ribosomal RNA". It matches the Rfam family "Bacterial small subunit ribosomal RNA", at positions 523 to 918 of the family's 1533-position model. The record is from RNAcentral.